RNAcentral lists this ribosomal RNA (305 nucleotides) under uncultured bacterium. RNAcentral's name for it is "bacterial SSU rRNA". It matches the Rfam family "Bacterial small subunit ribosomal RNA", at positions 333 to 652 of the family's 1533-position model. The record is from RNAcentral.
GAGUACCUACGGGGGGCAGCAGUGAGGAAUAUUGGUCAAUGGGCGCAAGCCUGACCCAGCAACGCCGCGUGAAGGAAGAAGGCUUUCGGGCUGUAAACUUCUUUUCUCAGGGACGAAGCAAGUGACGGUACCUGAGGAAUAAGCCACGGCUAACUACGUGCCAGCAGCCGCGGUAAUACGUAGGUGGCAAGCGUUAUCCGGAUUUACUGGGUGUAAAGGGCGUGUAGGCGGGAAAGCAAGUCAGAUGUGAAAACCACGGGCUCAACCUGUGGCCUGCAUUUGAAACUGUUUUUCUUGAGUACUGG